This 68-nucleotide transfer RNA is filed under the name Marmota monax (woodchuck). RNAcentral's name for it is "tRNA.Ala". The stretch from base 3 to 63 matches the Rfam family "tRNA", at positions 6 to 65 of the family's 71-position model. Rfam says of the family: Transfer RNA (tRNA) molecules are approximately 80 nucleotides in length. Lineage: Eukaryota; Metazoa; Chordata; Mammalia; Rodentia; Sciuridae. The record is from RNAcentral.
GCUGUAGCUCAAUGGUAGAGCACUUGCCUAGCAUGUGUGAGGCACUGGGUUUGAUCCUCAGCACCGCA